GGNUUAACCCCUUCCCUUAUUA
Molecule: transfer RNA, 22 nt
Filed under: Amazilia viridicauda
Lineage: Eukaryota; Metazoa; Chordata; Aves; Apodiformes; Trochilidae
Description: partial tRNA-Met
Source: RNAcentral